AGCGAAUACACAGAGUAGAUCUGGAGGCAUUACCACACUGGAGCAGACACAAGGUCCAGCUGGAGAACAGCGCUGUACAACUGGGUGACAAGUGAAACUGGAGCUUCAGCAGCUCCCUUCACUCCAGUGCCAGCUCCUUCAUUCUGGUCCAAUAAAAUGCUGGUUUGUCUGUGCCAUAAAAACUUGCAGUCCCGUGGAAAUGCUGGGCACAAAGCACCUGCAACUCCACACGGUCACUCAGAGGAGGAGAACGUGGUACUGAGAGCUCAGCCCGCCGCAGCCAAGGAAAGGAGUUAUGGUAGAGGUGUUAGUCACUGCCCAAAACACUGAUGUGACAAACAGUCAUAGCCUCAGACUUACUGGUCCUCUGAGUCCUCAAUUAGCCAGUUUAUAUAGGAAAAAAAACCUUGAGGAAGAGAAAGUUCGCUCUAAUAGGUGUGUGGUUAUCUUUUCCUUAAUUUUGUUUUUGUUUCAUGACUCUUAUGACUGGUGGAUUUACAAUCCAUCCAGAGGAACCCAUCGGACAUCACUUUCUAGGAACGCUGCUUUUUAUUAUUUUAUUAUAUCAUUUAUUUUCUCAUCUUGAUCCUGAUCCUGUAAAGCCUUUCCAUCACGUGUAGAUGCAGUGGUGCUCCUGUGGCUUGUGUGGCAGCAGCUCAAGGGACCCCAGCCCUGCUGGAGCAAGGACAGGACCCAGUGGCAGCCCAGCGUUGCCCCAGGGGCUUCUCUGGCUCCUGAGCAGCAUCGUCCUGAGCUGCUGAAGUCAAUGGGAGGUGAGCCAGUCCUUCAGAGUAACUUCACACGAAUCAUUCCUGAGCAGACUUUAAAUUAAUUGAUUCUGUUUGCAAAUGUGAAAGGGAGGAAAUGGUGCGUCAUUGUUGAGCACGUGCCAUGCCCACUGAGGUGGUGCAGAGGGACCUUUGCCAACCAGCGUCGGGCAUGCAGAAGUAUUGGGCCUGAUUCUUAAGGUGUGAGUGCAGCUUGCACCGUGGGAUUAACCGAAGUCGUUCCCAAUUUGCUCUGGCGGUGAUUAUGUGAGAGGAAAACGAAGCCCAUCGAUUGUCUGAAGAAUCAAAAUCAAAGCUGGAGGAAGGAAAGGUGCAGUGAAAUUUCAAGACUGACCAGCCAUCUGUGCAAGCAUCAGCUACCUCCUAACCAACAGGCAGAGUCCAUCUCCUUCAAACGCUUUCUGCCAAGCUUGUCGGCUGUGCUGACAGCGCUGGGUUCUCUUGCAGCAGCACCCGCAGGCACAGCUCUGCCGUUUUAAAGGCUUUCGGGAUUAGGCCAGGGCUCCUGCACAGCUGCGGUGCCUUGCCCCUAUUUUACAUCCACUGAAAGAUUUUUGAAUGGACUUCAGAAGCCAUUAGGAACCCAAAUGUCGACUUGCACUUGCAAAAUGUCUCUGGUUAAUGUUUUCCUACUGACGCUCUGCUUUGCUCCCCGCCUGCCAGAGUUUCCUGUGACCUAUUUGAAAUAUCACUCUCCUAAGUGAAAAUGUGCCUCUCUUUUUCAAACUUGCAAAACUCACAAAAAUAAAUAGCCUAAUUUGGCCAGUUAAUAGCCCUCUCCUGGGGCUCCUCUCAGCAACUAAGAGGCCUUUUAAAUACAACAUUUGUGACUGCGUCAUUAAAGCUCUGCAUGAUCCAAGCAGACUAAACCAAAAAGAAAGAAAUGCCUUAUUUGAUCUAAGUUUUCUUUUCUUUUAAAUAGUGACACUAGAGACCCAUUUAUUUUUAAUUACACAAUUGCUUUAUUAAAAGCCUAAAUCCUGCAGUCCCUAGUCAUUGCUCAGGCAAAACUGCUAUCAUUGAAGGAAGGACCUGUAGGAGUCAAUCCUAAAAAUAGGGCAGCUGACAAAGUCUGCCUUUCAAAAUGGGUUUGCUUUAUUUUUGAAGGAUUUCCCAAGUCAGAGAGAACUGGCCUCUGCUUUCCUUUUCAGUUCUGCAACAACUUGAAAGCUGAAUGUAGGAAAGCAGUCGCUCCAGAAAAAAAACCUCAGUUUUGCUUUCAGGUUGGCUGUGAUGCCCUUUCCAUCCUUAAACACUACCCCCUACACAGCCACAUUAAUAUUUACUGGCACAACAAGGCAUGCAUGAGGGUUAGCUCUGGCUCUGCCCAAACGAAUCUCUGAGCCACCAUGAGCCUGGUGGCCCCUGCGCAGAGGUUCCCCCUUGCACCCGUCCAUGGGAUGACUUGCACUGUGUUCAGCUGAGCUGCCAGCGGGGUUGCCGGCCCCUAAACACCUGCCCUGUGCUCCUACCAAACACAGAACCUCCUGCAAACCCUCCUGGAGCUGCUGAGAGGCUGCCAGAGGGCAGGGUCAGUCCUGUGCCUCCGAUCUUGUGCUAGUACACAGGCUGUGCUACCCAAACACAUUUCUGUCUUUGGACUCCAUGCGAAGGGUAGAUCUCCUUGCCAGGUUAAGGUGGUGCUGCUAGCAGCAGGAGACAGAGAAGGCUAGGCAGCCACGUAUACUAGAUUAUAUUCCUGGGCUAAACUCCAGAGCCUUCAAUUUUAUUAUCUAAUUACCCAACCGAAGUCAUUCAUCUUUAUGUUCCAGUCUUACCCACAGACCCCAGUUUAAAUGCAGCUCUGCUAUGUGAAGUGCUGCCCAGGCACUCUCCACUUGGAAAAACUCACAAUUUCUCAGCUUUAUUUGCUCAGACUGUGUUUUCUUAGUGUAAAGGACGCAUGGCAGAAAUCCCAGCCCUGGUCAGUGGCAGAGGUCUAUGUUAGGCUGUGCUGAGAUGGACAUGGCUGCAUUAUCACAGGCAACUGUGGCAGGGGAAGCAAGAGAAAAAACCCUCUAAUUUUAUAUGAAGGCUGUGUAGCCCGAUGUAGUCUUCAUCACCAGCAUGACACACCAUCAGAUUGCAUACAGAGCUUUGUGGUGUGGCUCACCGAGAUAUAUGGCUUUGUCACCAAGGAUAAACAUCAAGAGUAAAUAAAAACAACGGGGGGAAAAAGCUCCCCCCAGAAGUUAAGGAGACAUCAGGAAUGUGGACACUGGAGCCCAAGGAGGCACCAGUCCUGGUGUUCCAUCCUUUUAAACUCUUCAGGAGAAAGCAGAAGCUUGGCCUUACCCCUCUGCCCUCGAAUGCCCGUGGCCAACCUGUGGUGGGACGCCCCCAGCCAUGCGUGCCGGUGAGGGCAGGGCAUGCUGGAUGUCAGCCCUCCUCUCCGUAUGUUGCUGUAGUGUAUAUGUAAUCCAUGUACCAUGCUGGGACAGAUGCUCCCUGAUUAGCAUAACCCUGCCCCUGGGAGGGGCUUAGCUUAUAAAUAUGCUGCUUUUUCUA
Falco peregrinus (peregrine falcon) is the source of this 3296-nucleotide long non-coding RNA. RefSeq lists it as uncharacterized. The record is from RefSeq and is a predicted model, not a curated record. NCBI's taxonomy places the organism in Eukaryota, Metazoa, Chordata, Aves, Falconiformes, Falconidae. The transcript has 2 exons.